GAAACAUCAGGAUGAUUAUAAAAUGAGCAGAGGAACUUCGCUUCCUGUCAGAAGCUAAACAUGAAGGGGGUUGAGAUCUCACAGAUGCAAGAUUCUUGCCUUUCUGGAGACAUUGAAGUCAUUGAUCCAAGAAAUAGUCACCAUUGACAGCAUACCAAUAAAAGGUCAAUGUAUUUCAUCAUAAUGAGCGCUUCCACGUUUGAAGACUUCUGUCCGGAGGUUUUUAACAAAGUGGUCUGCAUUUUAGACCUAGAUGAUGUAAACCUGAAAGCAACCCAUGAAGACGCCAGAAGAAUCACCCAAGACGUUUUACCCAGUGUCCAGAGCAGAAUUGAUAGUGGAACUUUGAUUCUGAUGUCAGAGGACGAAGCCCCGCCAGAUGAUGCCAUGCAGUCUGUUAUAUCAGAUAUUUUAAGACUGCUUGAGGAUAAGGCCACAAGUCCUGACCCUGUUGAUGAACCAGAAGGUCUUUGUGAAUGAGAAAAAGAAAAUGAGACAAAAGCAGUCAAACACUUCAGGACAACACGGAACAGGAUAAAAACACCUAUGUCUGUGCCAUUUGCACCAAAGCUGAAGAAAACUGAGAGACAGAAAGAGCAAUAUGGUUGUUAUAAAGCCCAUGUGGUUUAUGGCUCGAUGGGAGGAUUGGAUUUACCUGAUAUUAAACUAUAUCAACGGUCUGCACAUCUAAGAUACAUUUCGGAUUGGGUUGCUUUUGAUAACUCUUCUACUUGGUUGGACCAUGAACAGUCGUUGUCAAAAUGUUCCUUUUGAAGAUCUGUUGUUUCUCAAAAACGUGCCAUCCGUAUUGGAGAACUAUGAUUA
This is a long non-coding RNA of Triplophysa dalaica, 825 nucleotides long. RefSeq lists it as uncharacterized. The record is from RefSeq and is a predicted model, not a curated record. Lineage: Eukaryota; Metazoa; Chordata; Actinopteri; Cypriniformes; Nemacheilidae. The transcript has 3 exons.